AUGGCCGCUCUAUCCAUGUCUGUCCGUAUUCCCAUCUUCCUGUUAGUUAUACUCACGGCCGUAUCCGCUUCUUCUCCUAGUUCGACCAAUGGCAAUGGUAGUGACACCGAUCUCGCCGCGCUGCUCGCUUUCAAAGCCCAGCUCACUGACCCUCACAACAUCCUUGCCCGCAACUGGACCAUCAACACCUCUUUCUGCCACUGGAUUGGCGUCUCGUGUAGCCGGCGUAGACAACGUGUCACUGCUCUAGCAUUGGGGGAUACACCUCUCGUUGGAUCUGUGGCACCUCAAGUUGGUAACCUCUCUUUCCUCUCCAUCCUUAACCUCACCCGCACUAAUCUUACAGGCUCCAUUCCAGCCGAACUUGGUAGGCUACAUCGUCUUAAGUAUCUCGAUCUUAGAAGAAAUAGCCUAUCAGACGCCAUACCUGCUACCCUUGGAAACCUCACAAGGCUCGUGUCCCUUCGUCUAGGUUACAACCAACUCUCGGGCCAGAUCCCUCCCGAGAUGCUGCUUCACAUGCAAAGCCUUGGGGAAAUUCAUCUGUUCGGAAAUUACUUGAGUGGCGAAAUACCACCGUCUUUGUUCAACAACACGCCUUCCAUGACGUUCAUCAACUUUGGAAAUAACAACCUGUCAGGUCCUAUACCACAAACCAUUGCAUCUCUAUCCAUUCUUUGGGUCUUGAAUCUAGAGUUAAAUCAACUCUCAGGCCUAGUGCCGCAAGCCAUGUACAACAUGUCUAGGUUGCAAGCGUUUUCACUAUUGAGCAACAGUAAUCUAUAUGGAACUAUUCCCAGCAAUCAAAGUUUUAUUCUCCCAAAGUUGAAGUUUCUUAAUCUAUACAAUAACAAAUUUACUGGUCGGAUUCCAUCCGGGCUUGCAUCUUGCAAGCACCUACAAAUACUUACUUUGUCGAGAAAUUAUUUUGUGGAUGUUGUACCAACAUGGUUAGCCAGAUUGCCACACCUCAAAGAACUUUCCUUGGGUUUUAACAAUCUUACUGGCUCAAUCCCAACUGGUCUAAGCAAUCUUACUGGUCUUACUUCACUAGAGAUGUCCUACAGCAACCUCAAAGGGGAGAUUCCAUCGGAAUUAGGUCUACUGCAGGAACUCUCAUAUUUGUAUCUUGGACUCAAUCAGUUGACAGGUAAAAUCCCAACUUCCCUUGGUAAUUUAUCCAAAUUGUCAUUCCUAGCUUUGAAUUACAAUCAACUGUCCGGCCAAGUACCAACAACACUUGGAAAUGGUGCAGCUUUGAACUAUCUUGAUUUGUCGCAAAACAAUUUAGAGGGGAAUCUAGACUUCUUGUCAGCUCUUUCCAAGUGCCAACAACUCCAAAGUCUUGGUAUAAACGACAAUUAUUUCACGGGCGUCCUCUCUGGCCAUGUGGGAAACCUCAGCUCACAAUUACAAACUUUAGCUGCAGGUUACAACAAGUUAACAGGCGGCCUUCCCGUAGAAAUUUCAAACAUAAGCAGUCUCGAAUCAAUAGAUCUUUCUAGCAACCAAUUCACCGGGCCCAUCCCAGAAUCCAUCGCUAUGUUAGAAAAUCUUGUGUGGCUUAGUCUCCCCAACAAUGAAAUGUUAGGUCCUAUGCCAACACAAAUGGGUAUGCUUCAGAGUCUAGAACGGUUGUUUCUCCAAUCAAACAAAUUAUCAGGCUCUAUACCAAGCAGCUUUGGUAAUCUCAGUUCGUUAGAACGCAUCGACUUGUCUAGUAACCAGGUAACUUCAGAGAUACCAUCAAGCCUUUUCCAGCUAGAUAAGCUUAUCCAACUAGAUAUUUCUCGCAAUUCCUUUGCGGGUGCACUACCAGUCGAUGUUUCUGGUCUAAGUCAAACUUAUCAAUUAGACUUUUCUUCCAACUUAUUGAUAGGGAGCAUCCCAAAAUCAUUUGGAGAACUUAUUAUGCUGACAUACCUCAAUCUAUCACAUAACUCCUUUAGAGACUCAAUUCCUGACCAAUUGGAAAAUUUAACAAGCUUAGAUUCGCUAGACCUCUCAUCUAACAAUAUCUCAGGUACCAUUCCCAUGUUCUUUGUGUUGGGGCUGGACAGCAACAAUGUGCUGCACAAAUUCAUCGGCACGGCAAAUAUGCACACUACACAGCCCCCUCUACUUGUGAUGAACUUUGAGGACAGUUUCAACCAACAAGUAAGCAGCGAAUAA
This 2172-nucleotide ribosomal RNA is filed under the name Triticum aestivum (bread wheat). RNAcentral's name for it is "partial small subunit ribosomal RNA". Lineage: Eukaryota; Viridiplantae; Streptophyta; Magnoliopsida; Poales; Poaceae. The record is from RNAcentral.